UAGGGAAUCUUCGGCAAUGGGGGGAACCCUGACCGAGCAACGCCGCGUGAUUUAGAAGGCCUUCGGGUUGUAAAAAUCUUUUGUAUAGGAAGAAAAUGACAGUACUAUACGAAUAAGGACCGGCUAAUUACGUGCCAGCAGCCGCGGUAAUACGUAAGGUCCGAGCGUUGUCCGGAAUCAUUGGGCGUAAAGGGUACGUAGGCGGGUAAGCAAGUUAGAAGUGAAAUCCUGUAGCUCAACUACAGUAAGCUUUUAAAACUGCUCAUCUUGAGAUAUGGAAGGGAAAGUGGAAUUCCUAGUGUAGCGGUGAAAUGCGCAGAUAUUAGGAGGAAUACCGGUGGCGAAGGCGACUUUCUGGCCAUAACCUGACGCUGAGGUACGAAAGCGUGGGUAGCAAACAGG
This 402-nucleotide ribosomal RNA is filed under the name Bacteroidota bacterium. RNAcentral describes it as "Bacteroidetes bacterium partial 16S ribosomal RNA". It matches the Rfam family "Bacterial small subunit ribosomal RNA", at positions 355 to 776 of the family's 1533-position model. Lineage: Bacteria; Pseudomonadati; Bacteroidota. The record is from RNAcentral.